AGAGUUUGAUCCUGGCUCAGAUUGAACGCUGGCGGCAUGCUUUACACAUGCAAGUCGAGCGGCAGCGCGGGGGCAACCCUGGCGGCGAGCGGCGAACGGGUGAGUAAUGCAUCGGAACGUGUCCGGGAGUGGGGGAUAACCCGCCGAAAGGCGGGCUAAUACCGCAUAUGCUCUACGGAGGAAAGGGGGGGACCGCAAGGCCUCCUGCUCUCGGAGCGGCCGAUGUCCGAUUAGCUAGUUGGUGGGGUAAUGGCUUACCAAGGCGACGAUCGGUAGCUGGUCUGAGAGGAUGAUCAGCCACACUGGGACUGAGACACGGCCCAGACUCCUACGGGAGGCAGCAGUGGGGAAUUUUGGACAAUGGGGGCAACCCUGAUCCAGCCAUGCCGCGUGCGGGAAGAAGGCCUUCGGGUUGUAAACCGCUUUUAGCCGGGAAGAAAAGGCGGCUCCUAAUACGGGCUGUUCUUGACGGUACCGGCGGAAUAAGCACCGGCUAACUACGUGCCAGCAGCCGCGGUAAUACGUAGGGUGCGAGCGUUAAUCGGAAUUACUGGGCGUAAAGCGUGCGCAGGCGGGUUCGUUAAGUCUGAUGNGANANCCCCGGGCUCAACCUGGGAAUGGCAUUNNAUNCUGGCGGGCUGGA
RNAcentral lists this ribosomal RNA (643 nucleotides) under uncultured bacterium. Its description in RNAcentral is "bacterial SSU rRNA". It matches the Rfam family "Bacterial small subunit ribosomal RNA", at positions 8 to 645 of the family's 1533-position model. The record is from RNAcentral.